Molecule: ribosomal RNA, 253 nt
Filed under: uncultured bacterium
Lineage: Bacteria
Description: partial 16S ribosomal RNA
Rfam family: Bacterial small subunit ribosomal RNA
Source: RNAcentral
UACGGAGGGUGCAAGCGUUAUCCGGAUUCACUGGGUUUAAAGGGUGCGUAGGCGGGCAGGUAAGUCAGUGGUGAAAUCUCCGGGCUUAACCCGGAAACUGCCGUUGAUGCUAUCUGUCUUGAAUAUCGUGGAGGUAAGCGGAAUAUGUCAUGUAGCGGUGAAAUGCUUAGAUAUGACAUAGAACACCCAUUGCGAAGGCAGCUUACUACACGAUCAUUGACGCUGAGGCACGAAAGCAUGGGGAGCAAACAGG